This 234-nucleotide ribosomal RNA is filed under the name uncultured bacterium. RNAcentral's name for it is "partial 16S ribosomal RNA". It matches the Rfam family "Bacterial small subunit ribosomal RNA", at positions 524 to 757 of the family's 1533-position model. The record is from RNAcentral.
GACGAACCGUGCGAACGUUGUUCGGAAUCACUGGGCUUAAAGGGAGCGUAGGCGGGCUAACAAGUCUGGGGUGAAAUGCCGCGGCUCAACCGUGGAACUGCCUCAGAUACUGUCGGCCUCGAGGGAGAUAGGGGCAUGCGGAACUAACGGUGGAGCGGUGAAAUGCGUUGAUAUCGUUAGGAACUCCGGUGGCGAAAGCGGCGUGCUGGAUCUCUUCUGACGCUGAGGCUCGAA